UACAGAGGUCUCAAGCGUUGUUCGGAUUCAUUGGGCGUAAAGGGUGUGUAGGAGGUCGGGUAAGUCAGGUGUGAAAUCUCGGAGCUUAACUCCGAAACUGCGCUUGAUACUGCUCGGCUAGAGGAUCGGAGGGGGUAACGGAAUUCAUGGUGUAGCAGUGAAAUGCGUAGAUAUCAUGAGGAACACCGGUGGCGAAGGCGGUUACCUGGAAGAUUCCUGACUCUGAAACACGAAAGCCAGGGGAGCAAACGGG
RNAcentral lists this ribosomal RNA (253 nucleotides) under uncultured bacterium. Its description in RNAcentral is "partial 16S ribosomal RNA". It matches the Rfam family "Bacterial small subunit ribosomal RNA", at positions 524 to 776 of the family's 1533-position model. The record is from RNAcentral.